RNAcentral lists this ribosomal RNA (474 nucleotides) under uncultured organism. Its description in RNAcentral is "partial 16S ribosomal RNA". It matches the Rfam family "Bacterial small subunit ribosomal RNA", at positions 333 to 799 of the family's 1533-position model. The record is from RNAcentral.
ACACUCCUACGGGAGGCAGCAGUGGGGAAUUUUGGACAAUGGGCGAAAGCCUGAUCCAGCAAUGCCGCGUGUGUGAAGAAGGCCUUCGGGUUGUAAAGCACUUUUGUCCGGAAAGAAAUCCUUGGCUCUAAUACAGUCGAGGGAUGACGGUACCGGAAGAAUAAGCACCGGCUAACUACGUGCCAGCAGCCGCGGUAAUACGUAGGGUGCGAGCGUUAAUCGGAAUUACUGGGCGUAAAGCGUGCGCAGGCGGUUUGCUAAGACCGAUGUGAAAUCCCCGGGCUCAACCUGGGAACUGCAUUGGUGACUGGCAGGCUAGAGUAUGGCAGAGGGGGGUAGAAUUCCACGUGUAGCAGUGAAAUGCGUAGAGAUGUGGAGGAAUACCGAUGGCGAAGGCAGCCCCCUGGGCCAAUACUGACGCUCAUGCACGAAAGCGUCGGGAGCAAACAGGAUUAGAAACCCGAGUAGUCCCAG